Molecule: ribosomal RNA, 476 nt
Filed under: Busseola sp. BUOUG4223
Lineage: Eukaryota; Metazoa; Arthropoda; Insecta; Lepidoptera; Noctuidae
Description: partial 16S large subunit ribosomal RNA
Source: RNAcentral
UGUCUUUUUGAAAAUAAUAUAAAGUCUAAUCUGCCCACUGAUUUUAUAUUAAAGGGCUGCAGUAUUUUGACUGUACAAAGGUAGCAUAAUCAUUAGUCAUUUAAUUGAUGACUUGUAUGAAAGAUUGGAUGAAAUAUAAACUGUCUCUUAAUUAUUAAUAUAAAAUUUAAUUUUUUAAUUAAAAAGUUAAAAUAAUUUAAAAAGACGAGAAGACCCUAUAGAGUUUUAUAUUUAAAUUAAUUAAGAUUAUUUAAAAUUUAAAAUUAAAAUUAAUUUAUUUAUUAUAUUGGGGUGAUAGAAAAAUAUAUAUAACUUUUUUUAUAUAAAAACAUUUAUAAGUGAUUAAAUGAUCCAAUAAUAUUGAUUAUAAGAAAAAAUUACCUUAGGGAUAACAGCGUAAUUUUUUUUUUUAGUUCAUAUAAAAAAAAGAGUUUGCGACCUCGAUGUUGGACUAAGAUAAAAUUUAAAUGUAGAAG